GGGUUGUGAGGUUAAGCGACUAAGCGUACACGGUGGAUGCCCUGGCAGUCAGAGGCGAUGAAGGGCGUGCUAAUCUGCGAUAAGCGCCGGUAAGGUGAUAUGAACCGUUAUAACCGGCGAUACCCGAAUGGGGAAACCCAGUGUGAYUCGUCACACUAUCAUUAACUGAAUCCAUAGGUUAAUGAGGCGAACCGGGGGAACUGAAACAUCUAAGUACCCCGAGGAAAAGAAAUCAACCGAGAUUCCCCCAGUAGCGGCGAGCGAACGGGGAGGAGCCCAGAGCCUGAAUCAGCAUGUGUGUUAGUGGAAGCGUCUGGAAAGGCGCGCGAUACAGGGUGACAGCCCCGUACACAAAAGCGCAUGUGCUGUGAGCUCGAUGAGUAGGGCGGGACACGU
This 396-nucleotide ribosomal RNA is filed under the name Salmonella enterica subsp. enterica serovar Infantis. RNAcentral's name for it is "partial 23S ribosomal RNA". It matches the Rfam family "Bacterial large subunit ribosomal RNA", at positions 1 to 427 of the family's 2925-position model. The record is from RNAcentral. Lineage: Bacteria; Pseudomonadati; Pseudomonadota; Gammaproteobacteria; Enterobacterales; Enterobacteriaceae. RNAcentral also lists the same sequence under 1 other name.